AUCGAUGAAGAACGCAGCGAAAUGCGAUAAGUAAUGUGAAUUGCAGAAUUCAGUGAAUCAUCGAAUCUUUGAACGCACAUUGCGCCCAUUAGUAUUCUAGUGGGCAUGCCUGUUCGAGCGUCAUUUCAACCCUUAAGCCUAGCUUAGUGUUGGGAGCCUACUUUCGAGUAGCUCCCUAAAUACAACGGCGGAUCUGUGGUAUCCUCUGAGCGUAGUAAUUUUUAUCUCGCUUUUGUUAGGUGCUGCAGCUCCCAGCCGCUAAACCCCCCAAUUUUUAAUGGUUGACCUCGGAUCAGGUAGGAAUACCCGCUGAACUUAAGCAUAUCAAUAAGCGGAGGAAAAGAAACCAACAGGGAUUGCCCUAGUAACGGCGAGUGAAGCGGCAACAGCUCAAAUUUGAAAUCUGGCCCUUGGGUCCGAAUUGUAAUUUGUAGAGGAUGUUUUUGGUGCGGUAUCUUCCGAGUUCCUUGGAACAGGACGCCUUAGAGGGUGAGAGCCCCGUACGGUUGAAUGCCUAGCCUUUGUAAAACUCCUUCGACGAGUCGAGUAGUUUGGGAAUGCUGCUCUAAAUGGGAGGUAAAUUUCUUCUAAAGCUAAAUACUGGCCAGAGACCGAUAGCGCACAAGUAGAGUGAUCGAAAGAUGAAAAGCACUUUGAAAAGAGGGUUAAAUAGCACGUGAAAUUGUUGAAAGGGAAGGAUUUAUGACCAGACUUUUUCUAGGCGAAUCAUCCGGUGUUCUCACCGGUGCACUUCGUUUAGUUUAGGCCAGCAUCGAUUUUCGGAGAGGGAUAAAAGCUUUAGGAAUGUGGCUCCUUCGGGAGUGUUAUAGCCUAUUGUAUAAUACCUUUCUGGGGAUCGAGGUACGCGCUUCUGCAAGGAUGCUGGCGUAAUGGUUAUCAAUCACCCGUCUUGAAACACGG
This 921-nucleotide ribosomal RNA is filed under the name uncultured Ascomycota. Its description in RNAcentral is "eukaryotic LSU rRNA". The stretch from base 283 to 921 matches the Rfam family "Eukaryotic large subunit ribosomal RNA", at positions 1 to 664 of the family's 3401-position model. Lineage: Eukaryota; Fungi; Ascomycota. The record is from RNAcentral.